UCCAUUAGCUGGUGUUAUCCCUGCUCCACUGCUUUCCCUGAGCAUUGUGGGAAUUUGGAGCCUCGGAAGGAAUUUGGUCAGGCCCAGUGCUGGGUUCUGCUGGGCUGAGCCCAUCUAAGGGGAAGAGAGAAAACAGGAGGAGAAUGAACAGCUAGGAAGGACCUGUAUGUCUCUAUCGUCCUUAGGUUUGUGUCGCUGAAUUUCACCUUAUUCUCUGGUCCUUCACCAUUUAUAUUGGUCCUGAUUCCCUAAAUAUACUGUGAACUCCUUGAAGACUUGACCAGGAGAAUUGUUAUGUGAAGACUAGUCAUCAAGGGAAAAGUAGAGAGAGAAUCAAAGAACUACUGGAUUUUGGUAUUGGAAGGGACUGGGCACACCAAGUUCCUAAUUUUACAAAGAAGAAAAUGGAGACUUAGAUGGUUCUCAGUGACUUGCCCAAAUUCCCGAAGUUACGUUAAUGACAGAGCAAGAACUAGGAGACAAGUCUCAACCGUGCCCCCCCCCCCAAUUCUUUCUCUUCAGGACCUUGGAACUUUCUCUUUGCAUAUCAUGGAUCCCCCUUUGGCAAUCUGGUGGAAUCUAUGGACCACUUCUCUGAGUAAUGUUCCUCAGUAUGUAAAAUAAAAUAUAUGGCAUUGCAAAGGAAACCAA
Molecule: non-coding RNA, 651 nt
Organism: Phascolarctos cinereus (koala)
Lineage: Eukaryota; Metazoa; Chordata; Mammalia; Diprotodontia; Phascolarctidae
Source: RefSeq, a predicted model, not a curated record